Molecule: long non-coding RNA, 1330 nt
Organism: Silurus meridionalis
Lineage: Eukaryota; Metazoa; Chordata; Actinopteri; Siluriformes; Siluridae
Exons: 3
Source: RefSeq, a predicted model, not a curated record
UCCGAACCCAGCAGUGCACGCGACAAAGCCGAUUCGGGCGCGUGCUGCAUAUUGCAUAUUGCAUGCAACCUAGAAAAAGAAACCAUCAUGGCCUUAUGGUGUGAGGCUCUUUGUGCCAGCUGCCCUGAUGAUACAGGGUUCAGCUCCUGUGAAAGGUGAACUGAGAGUGUGACAUCAUCCUCCAUCAAAUCCCAAAAUAACCCACUAGCUGAACUGCAUGCAUGUUUAUGUAACAGCAUGGUGUUUUUAUUUAUUUAUUUAUUUAUUUAUUAGUAAGGGCUUCUAGAUGCCGGGCCUCUGAUAUUUAUUUUCCAUGUGUUGGCUGACAUGCAGAUGAUUGUGCUGUGUGUUGUGUUAAAGCAUCAGGAGGGAUUUUAUUCAUUAAGCACUAGAAACUAAACACUAAACAGUAAACAGGGGCCAUUAUGCAUUAAGCACUAAGCAGUAGACUCUAAAGACUAAUGCUUAGCAUUAAACACUAAGCACUAGACACUAAGGACUGAGCACUAAGCACUAAACACUGGACUAGUUUGCAGACAAUAAGGACUAAGCACUAGACUCUAAGCACUAAACACUAAAGAUUAGUUACUAGACACUAAAGACUAAGCGACUGGACACAAAAUACUAAGCACUAGGGACUAAGCACUAGACACUAUGGACUAAGCACUAGACACUAUGGACUAGUUACUAGACAUUAAGGACUAGUUAGUAGACACUAAAUACUAAGCACUAAACACUAAGGACUAGCUACUAGACACUCAGGACUAAGCACUAGACAUGAAAUACUAAGCACUAGGCACUAUGGACUAGUUACUAGACACUAAGUACUAAGCACUAGACACUAAAUACUAAGCACUAGACACUAUGGACUAAGCACUAGACACUAUGGACUAGUUACUAGACAUUAAGGACUAGUUAGUAGACACUAAAUACUAAGCACUAAACACUAAGGACUAGCUACUAGACACUAAGGACUAAGCACUAGACAUGAAAUACUAAGCACUAGGCACUAUGGACUAGUUACUAGACACUAAGGACUAAACACUAGACACUAAAUACUAAGCACUAGACACUAAAUACUACACACUAGACACUAAGGACUAGCUUCUAGACACUUAGGACUAAGCACUAGACACUAAAAACUAAGCAGACACUAAAUACUAAGCUUUAGACAUUAAAUACUAAGCACUAGACACUGAGUACUAGUUACUAGACAUUAAGGAUUCGUUAGUAGACACUAAAUACUAAGCACUAAACACUAAGGACUAGUUUCUAGACACUAAAUACUACACACUAGACACUAAGGACUAAGUACUAGACACUAAAUACU